RNAcentral lists this ribosomal RNA (460 nucleotides) under uncultured bacterium. RNAcentral describes it as "bacterial SSU rRNA". It matches the Rfam family "Bacterial small subunit ribosomal RNA", at positions 30 to 491 of the family's 1533-position model. The record is from RNAcentral.
AUUGAACGCUGGCGGCAUGCCUUACACAUGCAAGUCGAACGGCAGCACGGGGCAACCUGGUGGCGAGUGGCGAACGGGUGAGUAAUGCAUCGGAACGUGCCAUUGAGUGGGGGAUAACGUAGCGAAAGUUGCGCUAAUACCGCAUAUUCUGUGAGCAGGAAAGCAGGGGACCGCAAGGCCUUGCGCUCUUUGAGCGGCCGAUGUCAGAUUAGCUAGUUGGUGAGGUAACGGCUUACCAAGGCGACGAUCUGUAGCGGGUCUGAGAGGAUGAUCCGCCACACUGGAACUGAGACACGGACCAGACUCCUACGGGAGCAGCAGUGAGGAAUAUUGGUCAAUGGGCGCAAGCCUGAACCAGCCAUGUCGCGUGCAGGAAGACUGCCCUAUGGGUUGUAAACUGCUUUUAUAGUAGAAGAAACACAUCUACGUGUAGAUGUCUGCCAGUAUACUAUGAAUAAGC